Molecule: transfer RNA, 77 nt
Filed under: Araneus ventricosus
Lineage: Eukaryota; Metazoa; Arthropoda; Arachnida; Araneae; Araneidae
Description: tRNA-Pro
Source: RNAcentral
ACUCCUUUUGUCUAGUGGUUAGGAUCUUCGGCUCGGAACCGAAAGGUCCCCGUUUCUAUCCCGCCGCCAAAGUGGUG